GGCCCCAUGGUGUAAUGGUUAGCACUCUGGACUCUAAAUCGAGAGAUCAGAGUUCAAAUCUCAGUGAGACCU
Non-coding RNA from Ornithorhynchus anatinus (platypus), 72 nucleotides. The record is from Rfam. Lineage: Eukaryota; Metazoa; Chordata; Mammalia; Monotremata; Ornithorhynchidae.